Long non-coding RNA from Temnothorax curvispinosus, 303 nucleotides. RefSeq lists it as uncharacterized. The record is from RefSeq and is a predicted model, not a curated record. NCBI's taxonomy places the organism in Eukaryota, Metazoa, Arthropoda, Insecta, Hymenoptera, Formicidae. The transcript is spliced from 4 exons.
ACACGUCUACCUACCAGUCUACUUGGAUAUUUUACAAUGACCUUCUAUUCCUUGCGGAUCAUAUUAUAGCCCGACAAACAACUUCAAAUUUUCAACGGCCUGCUGUUCGACCUGAGUUCUCAGCUGUUCGAUCUUCGUCACCUGCUGUUCGACCCGAGUUCUCAGCUGUUCGAUCUCCGUCAUCUGCUGUUCAAGGCAAACAAUCUACACUUUCGCCUAUAUGGAAUUCAGACCUUAUUUGCUUGUCCUCAUCUCCUUCAUCUAGUUUGGACUCAGACAUCACUAAUACAAGUGGAACCAACA